UUUUUUUUUGCCAUUGAUUUCAAGAUCAGGUACUAAGUUUUUGUCCUUCUGAUUGAUUUGUCAUAGUUCCAAAAAUCCCCCUACAAAAUUCUCUAAGCAGAAACCAAUGGCUGUCUAAAUGGGUUUUUUAGGUAGUACCUUCUGCUUUUACUUUAACCAGAUGGCUUCUGCAUUAUUUCACUUUAUUGGGGCAAUUGGUGGGGGGACCUGAUUCUUGCCAACACAUUUGGAUCAUUUGCACUGGUCAUGCGGUUUGCUUUGGGUGGCUUUGUCCUGUCAAGAGAGAACAUAAAGAAAUGGUGGAUAUGGGGUUACUGGAUGUAAAUUUCACGUCUAGCCUACUGUAUUUGCUGCAGAAUGCGAUUUUGGGUGUUGGUCCGUUUCUUCAAGACAAUGCAUGGGGUUGUCUUGAUCUAACUCAUUGCAAAGGUCAAAACCUUAAGUUCAUGAAUUGCACUUCAUAAGUCGCAAAAAACAAAAUAUAUUUUUAACAUUGUGGUAGAACUCACUCAUUCAUGGCUAAUUAUAAUU
Long non-coding RNA from Quercus lobata, 531 nucleotides. RefSeq lists it as uncharacterized. NCBI's taxonomy places the organism in Eukaryota, Viridiplantae, Streptophyta, Magnoliopsida, Fagales, Fagaceae. The record is from RefSeq and is a predicted model, not a curated record. The transcript is spliced from 3 exons.